Non-coding RNA from Trichoderma harzianum, 131 nucleotides. Lineage: Eukaryota; Fungi; Ascomycota; Sordariomycetes; Hypocreales; Hypocreaceae. The record is from Rfam.
GGAUCGAUAGCUCAGUGGUAGAGGUAAGCGAAUCUGAAACAUAAUUCCCAUUCUGUUACACAAUAACUAACAAACUUGGCAGCGAGAGAUUGCAGAUCUCUAGGUCACGCGUUCGAUCCGCGUUCGGUCCU